ACGGAGGGUGCAAGCGUUAUCCGGAAUCAUUGGGUUUAAAGGGUCCGCAGGCGGGUUUAUAAGUCAGUGGUGAAAGCCUACAGCUCAACUGUAGAACUGCCAUUGAAACUGUAGAUCUUGAAUUCGGUCGAAGUGGGCGGAAUAUGACAUGUAGCGGUGAAAUGCUUAGAUAUGUCAUAGAACACCGAUAGCGAAGGCAGCUCACUAGGCCUGGAUUGACGCUCAGGGACGAAAGCGUGGGGAGCAAACAGGAUUAGAUACCCUGGUAGUCCACGCCGUAAACUAUGAUUACUCGUUUUCAGCCCCUUGGGGUUGGAGACUAAGCGAAAGUGAUAAGUAAUCCACCUGGGGAGUACGAUCGCAAGGUUG
RNAcentral lists this ribosomal RNA (369 nucleotides) under uncultured bacterium. RNAcentral's name for it is "bacterial SSU rRNA". It matches the Rfam family "Bacterial small subunit ribosomal RNA", at positions 525 to 896 of the family's 1533-position model. The record is from RNAcentral.